AUGCAUGUAAAAGCAAAAUCAAAUGUAUACCAGAUAUGUUCACACAUUUGUUGUUUUGAUGUAUUGGGUAAAACACUUACUAAGGUGAUAUGAUAGAUGUGGGUGGUAUAGAAAUUCUAAAAUGUUUGUAAAUAACAGUAGAUUAGACUAUACGUUUGUACAACACAUAUGGUGUUCAUUUUACAUUUUGUAUGUAUUUUUAAUAAGGCCACAACCUUAAAGCUUAUGUUUAAACAUUUAAAAGUGAUGCUAAAUUCCCAUCGAGAACUUCCUGUACAAUAUCUUAAGAAAAUCUCAUUUAAAAUCCUUUAUUCUUUUUUUCAGAAUUGGUGUAAGCUGGUAUGUGCUGUAGACGUGCUUAGAAGAUUUUGGAUUAGUUCGUGUUUAAUAUACAUUUAAGACAAUCUGAAAUAAAUAUUUACAUACACCAGAAUUCACUUUAUUCGUCCUUCAAAGACAUGUAUAUACAUAAUGUUACAUUGUAAAUGUAAAUUUGAUCCAUAAUUUGUUUCUAUUUUGUAUCAAAUUGUUAGCAUUAAACCCUGACCGAAUAAUAUGAAAUAUCAACGAAUAUUUUUUUACAACUGUCGCACCUCAAUACAAUAAUUACUUGGAAUUUAAUGAAGACUGCAACAUGUUUCUUUAUGACUGUGGUUUGUUCGUUCAAUUACAUACCUGCAUAUGAUUUUUCUUAUUAUGUUUGAGUGUACCAAAGUAACUCUGUGCUAAUUUGUUUUUCUUUCUUAUGUAUA
RNAcentral lists this long non-coding RNA (752 nucleotides) under Mytilus galloprovincialis (Mediterranean mussel). Lineage: Eukaryota; Metazoa; Mollusca; Bivalvia; Mytilida; Mytilidae. The record is from RNAcentral.